RNAcentral lists this transfer RNA (87 nucleotides) under Pseudoxanthomonas indica. RNAcentral's name for it is "tRNA-Leu". It matches the Rfam family "tRNA". Rfam says of the family: Transfer RNA (tRNA) molecules are approximately 80 nucleotides in length. Their secondary structure includes four short double-helical elements and three loops (D, anti-codon, and T loops). Lineage: Bacteria; Pseudomonadati; Pseudomonadota; Gammaproteobacteria; Lysobacterales; Lysobacteraceae. The record is from RNAcentral.
GCCCGGAUGGCGAAACAGGUAGACGCAUCGGACUUAAAAUCCGCCGGCCGCAAGGCCAUCCCGGUUCGAUUCCGGGUCCGGGCACCA